Molecule: ribosomal RNA, 468 nt
Filed under: uncultured bacterium
Lineage: Bacteria
Description: partial 16S ribosomal RNA
Rfam family: Bacterial small subunit ribosomal RNA
Source: RNAcentral
GACGAACGCUGGCGGCGUGCUUAACACAUGCAAGUCGAACGGAAAGGCCCUGCUUUUGUGGGGUGCUCGAGUGGCGAACGGGUGAGUAACACGUGAGUAACCUGCCCUUGACUUUGGGAUAACUUCAGGAAACUGGGGCUAAUACCGGAUAGGAGCUCCUGCUGCAUGGUGGGGGUUGGAAAGUUUCGGCGGUUGGGGAUGGACUCGCGGCUUAUCAGCUUGUUGGUGGGGUAGUGGCUUACCAAGGCUUUGACGGGUAGCCGGCCUGAGAGGGUGACCGGCCACAUUGGGACUGAGAUAAGGCCCAGACUCCUACGGGAGACAGCAGUGGGGAAUAUUGCACAAUGGGCGGAAGCCUGAUGCAGCAACGCCGCGUGCGGGAUGACGGCCUUCGGGUUGUAAACCGCUUUCGCCUGUGACGAAGCGUGAGUGACGGUAAUGGGUAAAGAAGCACCGGCUAACUACGUG